Unclassified non-coding RNA from Callithrix jacchus (white-tufted-ear marmoset), 294 nucleotides. It matches the Rfam family "Metazoan signal recognition particle RNA". Rfam says of the family: The signal recognition particle (SRP) is a universally conserved ribonucleoprotein. It is involved in the co-translational targeting of proteins to membranes. The eukaryotic SRP consists of a 300-nucleotide 7S RNA and six proteins: SRPs 72, 68, 54, 19, 14, and 9. NCBI's taxonomy places the organism in Eukaryota, Metazoa, Chordata, Mammalia, Primates, Cebidae. The record is from Ensembl.
GUGGGGUACAGUGGCAGGCCUGUGGUUCCAGCUACCUGGGAGGCAGAGGCAGGAAGAUCACUUGCGUGUAGGAGUUCUGGGGUGUAGUGCACUCUGGUCAUUGGGUGUCCACACGGAGUUCGGCAUCAGUACGGUGACCUCCCAGUAGUAGCAGACCACCAAGUUGCCUAAGGAGAGGUGAACUGGCCCAAGGCAGAAUCAGAACAGGUCAAAACUCCCAUGCUGAUCAGUAGUGGGACUGCACCUGUGAAUAGCCACUGCACUCAUAAUUAACAUAGUCAGAACCAGUCUCCC